ACUCCUACGGGAGGCAGCAGUGGGGAAUAUUGCACAAUGGGGAAACCCUGAUGCAGCCAUGCCGCGUGUGUGAAGAAGGCCUCGGUUGUAAAGCACUUUCAGUAGGGAGGAAGGUAGUGUAGUUAACACCUGCAUUAUUUGACGUUACCUACAGAAGAAGCACCGGCUAACUCCGUGCCAGCAGCCGCGGUAAUACGGAGGGGUGCGAGCGUUAAUCGGAAUUACUGGGCGUAAAGCGCAUGCAGGCGGCCUGUUAAGUCAGAUGUGAAAGCCCGGGGGCUUAACCUCGGAAUUGCAUUUGAAACUGGCAGGCUAGAGUCUUGUAGAGGGGGUAGAAUUUCAGGUGUAGCGGUGAAAUGCGUAGAGAUCUGAAGGAAUACCAGUGGCGAAGGCGGCCCCCUGGACAAAGACUGACGCUCAGAUGCGAAAGCGUGGGGAGCAAACAGGAUUAGAUACCCUGGUAGGAUAGCG
Molecule: ribosomal RNA, 471 nt
Filed under: uncultured bacterium
Lineage: Bacteria
Description: bacterial SSU rRNA
Rfam family: Bacterial small subunit ribosomal RNA
Source: RNAcentral